UAUAGAAUAAUUUUAAAAAUUACUUAAAAUGCUUAUUUUGUUAUUUCCAAAACUCAGAAAUGUAACAGUGAUGUUUCUACAAUGAAUUGUGUUUCAUUUGAAUUGUUAAACUAUGCUGGAACAAAACAGUCAAUCAUGUAUCAUUCUCUGAGAGCAGUUAAAUGCUCACUUAUCUGAGCUGCUAAACAGACAAUUGAAAGGCAUGAUCCUGGCAAAGCUUCAUGCAUGCAAAAAUUUUGGAAUAGUAAUAUGUAAUACAUCCUCCAUUAUACAGUUAUCCCACAGUAUCUACAGAUGAUGUGUGUACCCCCGUGGUCUUGGAUACUUAAUUCUAAGAGCUGCUCACUCUGUUUGUCUCCUGCACUGAGGAAAAGAAAAUGAAAGAAUGCAUCAGCACAGUUGAAGGAAGUUAUAUUGUUCAAGAUCCAAACAGUUUUCCAGCUAAGAUAUAAACCAGAAAUCAUCUGUGUGAGAAAGAUAUGAUUGAGGCACUCAUAUCAAAUCUACCUACUGUUGCAUAUACAUAUACAUAUUUACAUACACACACACAUGCAUUUAGAUGGUUUGGGCGCUUGGGUUUUUGUAUCACGUAACUAUAAUAAAGCAAGGUUCCUUAUAACCUUAGAUAAUUUUGCUUUUCAAUAACUGAAUUUUUCUCAGAGAAGUGAGUAAAAAUCUUCUCUGGAUUGUCUUGCAGAGGAAGUUCUUUUCCCUCACCUGAUUAGCAUUUUAUGGAGACUAAAUAAGUAAGGAAGCUGAAAGUACAUGAUUGAUACAUAAAUAGAAGAAAAAUAGAAUGCACAGAGGACAAGAGAGAGAGAGAAUUCUGGUAUCACACAUUUACUCUUUCUAUGAAUCUGAAGCUGUUGGAAAACCCACUGGAAAAUCUAUCAUUAUAGAAGACGAAUGGAACUUGGACCAAUGUCAAAGCCUUUGAAAAGAUACUUUUUAGUCAGGAAUAAUUCAAUUAUUACUGAAUUAUAUAAAUUCAAUAAUAAAUAUAAUUAUACUAUAUACAGUAUGUAUAAUAUAUAAUUAUAAUAUAAUUAUAAUCAAUAUAAAUAAUAAUAAUAAAUAAUAAUAAUUUAAAAAAAGAUUAACUGGUGGUAGUCAGACAAAAAGACCAAAUAAGUGAUUAAACAAAAUUCUCAUACCACAACAUUUUCUGGAGCACUUCAUGAUGUUCGAAUGCUAUAUCAAAGUGUAAACAAAGUGUGAACAUAUCACAUCAGUUCAACCAAGGUAUGAUUUGGAUGAGUGUGGUGGAAUACAUUGAAAUGUUGAUCAUGUAGCACGUUAGUGAGCUGUGUAUUGACAGGG
RNAcentral lists this long non-coding RNA (1320 nucleotides) under Gallus gallus (chicken). Its description in RNAcentral is "lncRNA (ENSGALG00010008833.1)". Lineage: Eukaryota; Metazoa; Chordata; Aves; Galliformes; Phasianidae. The record is from RNAcentral.